RNAcentral lists this ribosomal RNA (463 nucleotides) under uncultured bacterium. RNAcentral describes it as "bacterial SSU rRNA". It matches the Rfam family "Bacterial small subunit ribosomal RNA", at positions 28 to 480 of the family's 1533-position model. The record is from RNAcentral.
GAUGAACGCUAGCUACAGGCUUAACACAUGCAAGUCGAGGGGAAACGACAUCGAAAGCUUGCUUUUGAUGGGCGUCGACCGGCGCACGGGUGAGUAACGCGUAUCCAACCUGCCCACCACUUGGGGAUAACCUUGCGAAAGUAAGACUAAUACCCAAUGAUAUCCCACGAAGGCAUCCGAAUGGGAUUAAAGAUUUAUCGGUGAUGGAUGGGGAUGCGUCUGAUUAGCUUGUUGGCGGGGUAACGGCCCACCAAGGCAACGAUCAGUAGGGGUUCUGAGAGGAAGGUCCCCCACAUUGGAACCUGAGACACGGUCCAAACUCCUACGGGAGGCAGCAGUGAGGAAUAUUGGUCAAUGGGCGGAAGCCUAAACCAGCCAAGUAGCGUGCAGGAUGACGGCCCUAGGGUUGUAAACUGCUUUUAGGCGGGGUAAAGGGCGACGCGUUCCGCUUUUGCAAGUACCG